CCUACGGGUGGCUGCAGUGAGGAAUAUUGGUCAAUGGCCGUAAGGCUGAACCAGCCAAGUCGCGUGAAGGAAGAAGGAUCUAUGGGUCGUAAACCGCUUUUGCACGGGGAUAACACCCUCCACUUGUGGAGGUCUGCAGGUACCGUGCGAAUAAGGGCCGGCUAAUUCCGUGCCAGCAGCCGCGGUAAUACGGAAGGCCCGAGCGUUAUCCGGAUUCAUUGGGCUUAAAGGGAGCGUAGGCGGGCGUUCAAGUCAGCUGUAAAAUCGCGCGGCUCAACCGCGCCCCGCAGUUGAAACUGGACGCCUUGAGUUCACAACAGGCAGGCGGAAUUCGUGGUGUAGCGGUGAAAUGCAUAGAUAUCACGAGGAACCCCGAUUGCGAAGGCAGCCUGCCGGGGUGCGACUGACGCUGAGGCUCGAAGGUGCGGGUAUCAAACAGGAUUAGAUACCCGGGUAGUC
RNAcentral lists this ribosomal RNA (459 nucleotides) under uncultured bacterium. Its description in RNAcentral is "partial 16S ribosomal RNA". It matches the Rfam family "Bacterial small subunit ribosomal RNA", at positions 338 to 795 of the family's 1533-position model. The record is from RNAcentral.